CGGAAGCCUAGACUGCGCAUCCUGCGAGGCGCUAGCGGCGGCGUGGUCAGAGUGGGCUUUGGAGAAGCCGUGGUGGCUUCCAUGUGGUGGUGGAGGAGGAUUCAGGUCUCAGCGGUUCGUCUGAAGUGCUCUAAAUGACACUGUUUCAUUAUUUUGAUGGCCAAGAAUAUUCCCUCAUGUAUGUAUACAAGAGUUUCUUGAUCCCUUUAUCUGUGGAUGAACAGGUCAUUUGCCAUGAUGUCCUCCAGGUUCAAGAGUAUGACUCCAAAUGAUGAAAUUUCAUUCUGCUUUUCUGGCUGAAGACUAUUUGUGUACAUCCACCACAGUUACUUUAUCCCUUCACCUGUGGAUGGGCAGGAUUGCUUUAGAAAUUCAGGGUGUUAAGAUGGCCGAAUAGGAACAGCUCCAGUCUCCAACUCCCAGCGCGAGCGACACAGAAGACCAGUGAUUUCUGCAUUUUCAACUGAGGUUUUUCCACAUGGCUGCAAAUGGCUAGAUUUCACUCGUUUCUAUGGUUGAAGAAUAUUCUGUUCUGGAUGUAUACUGCAGUUUCCUCAUCCCUUCAUCAAUGGAUGAACAGGGUUCCGUCAUGAUUUGUUGCAGCGUUCCUCACACGGGGUACCACCUGCUGGGUCUGACUUGCAGACCCUGGCCCAGUGAUGGAAGAAAAAGGUACACAGACACGGAUUUUUUGUCUGGGCCUGAAGCUAGAGGACCGGGCUGCUCACAGACAAAGAGGAUAUCGUAAAGAGUCACAGCAGCUACAGCCCCAACAAGCUUGUGCUGCGGGCGUUUAUUUACUACAGAUUUAAUGAUAAAGGCUUUGAAUCACCACAACUUGUGGGACAACCAAGUCCCUACAUGUCUCCUCUGGACACCAUGGGUUAAACCUUCCAAGAUGAAACAACAAUCAUUAAAUCCUCCUCACCAUGACAGGAAGCAAGGAGGAAGGACCCUGAAGACCCUCGAUGUCCCUUCUCAGCAGCAAGCAGCUUCAGAGAAUGACCUCUGUCCCAUCUCCCAAAAGAUUUCUGAGCCCCAACUCCUUGAGGGAGAAAUGUAAGAGUAGACAGUCAAUAUGAGCAGGCAUGAAGGGGGGUAUCCAUGUUGGAAAGAAUGCCCAGGAACACCUUUUAGGAUACCCAGCACUCACUCCAUGGUCGAAUUGUCAGAAUGUUGUUAACUAGAUGAUGAUAAGGAAGGAAAAAGGCAAAAGAGGAAUUCCUGAGAGCUGAGCAGGCACAAUUAGUACAAAAUUCAUGGCUAUACCUUCUGGGGUGGCAGUAAUAAGCAGUGCCACCAUUAGAUAGGAUUCAUAUUGAUCACUGGAUCCAGUGCAUGUGCAUUAAACACAGUAAGGGAGGAUCCCCCAAACUUUGGUGAGAACUGGGUAAAAAAAGAACCGAGACAAUAGAAGAUCACAAUGCAGAAUGUCUUGGGGGUGUUUCUAGCAGGGUCAGCCCACUCCUCUCUUGGAGUGUUCUUGUAUUUCUCCAAUUAAACUUUUGCU
Long non-coding RNA from Rhinopithecus roxellana (golden snub-nosed monkey), 1510 nucleotides. RefSeq lists it as uncharacterized. NCBI's taxonomy places the organism in Eukaryota, Metazoa, Chordata, Mammalia, Primates, Cercopithecidae. The transcript has 7 exons. The record is from RefSeq and is a predicted model, not a curated record.